GACGAACGCUGGCGGCGUGCUUAACACAUGCAAGUCGAACGGAAAGGCCUUUUCGGCGGUACUCGAGUGGCGAACGGGUGAGUAACACGUGGGUGAUCUGCCCUGCACUCUGGGAUAAGCCUGGGAAACUGGGUCUAAUACCGGAUAGGACCGCACUUUAGUGUGUGUGGUGGAAAGUUUUUUCGGUGUAGGAUGAGCCCGCGGCCUAUCAGCUUGUUGGUGGGGUAAUGGCCUACCAAGGCGGCGACGGGUAGCCGGACUGAGAGGUUGGUCGGCCACAUUGGGACUGAGAUACGGCCCAGACUCCUACGGGAGGCAGCAGUGGGGAAUAGUGCACAAUGGGCGCAAGCCUGAUGCAGCGACGCCGCGUGGGGGAUGACGGCCUUCGGGUUGUAAACUCCUUUCGCCAGGGACGAAGCGUUUUGUGACGGUACCUGGAGAAGAAGCACCGGCUAACUACGUG
RNAcentral lists this ribosomal RNA (463 nucleotides) under uncultured bacterium. RNAcentral's name for it is "partial 16S ribosomal RNA". It matches the Rfam family "Bacterial small subunit ribosomal RNA", at positions 28 to 507 of the family's 1533-position model. The record is from RNAcentral.